This is a long non-coding RNA of Drosophila obscura, 820 nucleotides long. RefSeq lists it as uncharacterized. The transcript has 3 exons. The record is from RefSeq and is a predicted model, not a curated record. Lineage: Eukaryota; Metazoa; Arthropoda; Insecta; Diptera; Drosophilidae.
CCAUGAUUUUUGCGCAGUUUUCGUGCGGUUUUCGGAGCUAAAGGACGCAGCAGCGGCAGCAACAGCAGCAAUAGCAGCAUCAGCAGCAAAAAGAGCCACCCGAAGAGGCAGCGUGAUAAAGGAUAGCAGAGGAGUUGUGGUUUUUUGCAGUGUGGCGUGUGAGAAACAAUCAAAGACAAUAUUUUGUGCGAGCGGAAAAGGAAUCCAUCAAGAUAAAUAAGAAUUGGCAUAAUACAAGUAAAGCCCGUGCGAAGGUGACAAAAGGGGAAGGUGAGCGGGCCCUUGAGCUCUGCAAGGACCCUUGGAUUACCUUGCGGGGCAAGCGGAAUCAGCCAGCGAAUUCGCCGGCGGUAGGGCGAAUCUCCGGCAGAAGCUGAGGGAGAUACAGCGAGAGGUAAAGCCCAAGAAGCCAAGCUUGAAGCAGAUCAGAUCCAGCAAACAAGGGACACAAGCAUCACAGACUGAAAGCAGUGCAAGCAGUGAAAGCAGUGCAGAGCCGUGCAAGCCGUGCAAGCAGUGCCAGCAUCACCGUCGCCAUUCGCCUCCCAUUAAGUGCCAAGAGCGAGAAAGGAAAGAAAGAAAGAAAGGAAGGAAGGUUUCUCCCUUUCUUAACAACACACUUGUAAGCCAAAAAAGACAACGAGGCUGGCGCUGGCCCCAGGGCAGCAGAGGCAGUAGCAGCACCGACAGAGCCGCGACGCUGCAGCGGCGACAGAGCAAUUGAGCGAAACCAGCAACAGCUGCAGCGACGCUUGCGGGAGGGGCACGCGCACGCUCACUGAUGGCAGAGAAGAUGCUGAAGAUGAUGAUGAUGAUGAUG